CCGGAUUAUUGGGCGUAAGCGCGCGUAGGCGGUUUUUUAAGUCUGAUGUGAAAGCCCACGGCUCAACCGUGGAGGGUCAUUGGAAACUGGAAAACUUGAGUGCAGAAGAGGAAAGUGGAAUUCCAUGUGUAGCGGUGAAAUGCGCAGAGAUAUGGAGGAACACCAGUGGCGAAGGCGACUUUCUGGUCUGUAACUGACGCUGAUGUGCGAAAGCGUGGGGAUCAAACAGGAUUAGAUACC
This 240-nucleotide ribosomal RNA is filed under the name Staphylococcus aureus. RNAcentral's name for it is "partial 16S ribosomal RNA". It matches the Rfam family "Bacterial small subunit ribosomal RNA", at positions 545 to 786 of the family's 1533-position model. Lineage: Bacteria; Bacillati; Bacillota; Bacilli; Caryophanales; Staphylococcaceae. The record is from RNAcentral.